This is a non-coding RNA of Podarcis lilfordi (Lilford's wall lizard), 75 nucleotides long. NCBI's taxonomy places the organism in Eukaryota, Metazoa, Chordata, Lepidosauria, Squamata, Lacertidae. The record is from the annotation of a GenBank genome assembly.
UGCUAGAGUAGCUCAGCCAGUAGAGCAUAAGACCCUCCAUCUCAGGGUUGUGGGCUUGAGCCCCACACUGGGCAA